RNAcentral lists this ribosomal RNA (855 nucleotides) under uncultured bacterium. RNAcentral's name for it is "bacterial SSU rRNA". It matches the Rfam family "Bacterial small subunit ribosomal RNA", at positions 49 to 883 of the family's 1533-position model. The record is from RNAcentral.
CUACCAUGCAGUCGAGCGGCAGCGACACAUUGAACCUUCGGGGGAUUUGUUGGGCGGCGAGCGGCGGACGGGUGAGUAAUGCCUGGGAAAUUGCCCUGAUGUGGGGGAUAACCAUUGGAAACGAUGGCUAAUACCGCAUGAUAGCUUCGGCUCAAAGAGGGGGACCUUCGGGCCUCUCGCGUCAGGAUAUGCCCAGGUGGGAUUAGCUAGUUGGUGAGGUAAGGGCUCACCAAGGCGACGAUCCCUAGCUGGUCUGAGAGGAUGAUCAGCCACACUGGAACUGAGACACGGUCCAGACUCCUACGGGAGGCAGCAGUGGGGAAUAUUGCACAAUGGGCGCAAGCCUGAUGCAGCCAUGCCGCGUGUAUGAAGAAGGCCUUCGGGUUGUAAAGUACUUUCAGCAGUGAGGAAGGGGGUAUCGUUAAUAGCGGUACUCUUUGACGUUAGCUGCAGAAGAAGCACCGGCUAACUCCGUGCCAGCAGCCGCGGUAAUACGGAGGGUGCGAGCGUUAAUCGGAAUUACUGGGCGUAAAGCGCAUGCAGGUGGUUUGUUAAGUCAGAUGUGAAAGCCCGGGGCUCAACCUCGGAAUUGCAUUUGAAACUGGCAGGCUAGAGUACUGUAGAGGGGGGGUAGAAUUUCAGGUGUAGCGGUGAAAUGCGUAGAGAUCUGAAGGAAUACCGGGUGGCGAAGGCGGCCCCCUGGACAGAUACUGACACUCAGAUGCGAAAGCGUGGGGAGCAACAGGAUUAGAUACCCUGUAGUCCACGCCGUAAACGAUGUCUACUUGGAGGUUGUGGCCUUGAGCCGGUGGCUUUCGGAGCUAACGCGUUUAAGUAGACCGCCUGGGGGAGUAC